AGUGAACGCUGGCGGUAGGCCUAACACAUACAAGUCGAACGGCAGCACAGUAAGAGCUUGCUCUUACGGGUGGCGAGUGGCGGACGGGUGAGGAAUACAUCGGAAUCUACUUUUUCGUGGGGGAUAACGUAGGGAAACUUACGCUAAUACCGCAUACGACCUACGGGUGAAAGCAGGGGAUCUUCGGACCUUGCGCGAUUGAAUGAGCCGAUGUCGGAUUAGCUAGUUGGCGGGGUAAAGGCCCACCAAGGCGACGAUCCGUAGCUGGUCUGAGAGGAUGAUCAGCCACACUUGAACUGAGACACGGGCCAGACUCCUACGGGAGGGAGCAGUGGGGAAUUUUGGACAAUGGGCGCAAGCCUUAUCCAGCCAUACCGCGUGGGUGAAGGAAGCCUUCGGGUUGGAAAACCCUUUUGGUGGGAAAGAAAAGCAGCAGGUUUAUACCCCGCUGUUCUGACGGUACCCAAAGAAUAAGCACCGGCUAACUUCGUG
RNAcentral lists this ribosomal RNA (492 nucleotides) under uncultured bacterium. Its description in RNAcentral is "partial 16S ribosomal RNA". It matches the Rfam family "Bacterial small subunit ribosomal RNA", at positions 29 to 507 of the family's 1533-position model. The record is from RNAcentral.